AGCGAACGCUGGCGGCAGGCCUAACACAUGCAAGUCGAACGAACUCUUCGGAGUUAGUGGCGGACGGGUGAGUAACACGUGGGAACGUGCCUUUAGGUUCGGAAUAACUCAGGGAAACUUGUGCUAAUACCGAAUGUGCCCUUCAGGGGAAAGAUUUAUCGCCUUUAGAGCGGCCCGCGUCUGAUUAGCUAGUUGGUGAGGUAAAGGCUCACCAAGGCGACGAUCAGUAGCUGGUCUGAGAGGAUGAUCAGCCACAUUGGGACUGAGACACGGCCCAAACUCCUACGGGAGGCAGCAGUGGGGAAUCUUGCGCAAUGGGCGAAAGCCUGACGCAGCCAUGCCGCGUGAAUGAUGAAGGUCUUAGGAUUGUAAAAUUCUUUCACCGGGGACGAUAAUGACGGUACCCGGAGAAGAAGCCCCGGCUAACUUCGUG
RNAcentral lists this ribosomal RNA (433 nucleotides) under uncultured bacterium. RNAcentral describes it as "partial 16S ribosomal RNA". It matches the Rfam family "Bacterial small subunit ribosomal RNA", at positions 29 to 507 of the family's 1533-position model. The record is from RNAcentral.